AACGAACGCUGGCGGCAUGCCUAACACAUGCAAGUCGAACGAGACCUUCGGGUCUAGUGGCGCACGGGUGCGUAACGCGUGGGAACCUGCCCUUAGGUUCGGAAUAACUCCCCGAAAGGGGUGCUAAUACCGGAUAAUGUCUUCGGACCAAAGAUUUAUCGCCCUUGGAUGGGCCCGCGUUGGAUUAGCUAGUUGGUAGGGUAAAAGCCUACCAAGGCGACGAUCCAUAGCUGGUCUGAGAGGAUGAGCAGCCACACUGGGACUGAGACACGGCCCAGACUCCUACGGGAAGCAGCAGUGGGGAAUAUUGGACAAUGGGCGAAAGCCUGAUCCAGCAAUGCCGCGUGAGUGAUGAAGGCCUUAGGGUUGUAAAGCUCUUUUACCCGGGAUGAUAAUGACAGUACCGGGAGAAUAAGCUCCGGCUAACUCCGUG
This 433-nucleotide ribosomal RNA is filed under the name uncultured bacterium. RNAcentral describes it as "partial 16S ribosomal RNA". It matches the Rfam family "Bacterial small subunit ribosomal RNA", at positions 29 to 507 of the family's 1533-position model. The record is from RNAcentral.